AGCAGCAGAAAGUGGAGACACGUUGACUGCUGAUUCCUGCACGGAUGAGCUGCGAGACAAAAGAGAGACAGUGUCAUUUGAAGGGCACAGGUUCCAUCCAUCAAUCUUCCAUAUUCUAUACUGGGGAGCCUGGAGCCUAUCACAGGCAACAGGACGGGGUGCUAACCCAUUACGGGACACAAUCACACACCCAUUCACACACUAUGGACAAUUUGGAAAUGCCUACAACACACAUGGCUUUGGAAUGGAGGAGAAAACUGGAGUACCAGGAGGAAACCCCCGAAGCACAGGGAGAACAUGCAAACUCUGUGCACACAGGGUGGAGGCGGGAUUCGAUCCCCCAACUCCAAAGGUGCGAGGCAAGCGUGCUAACCACUUACCCACCAUGCCCUCCCCUCGCUUGUAUAUUACCAAGAACCCAAAAAGUGCAAAGUCAUCUGUCCUGAAGACUCUCACAUGAUUUCCAUAACUCCUUCCAUAGAUUCUCCUUACAGAAAACUUCACCAAUAAUUAUACUGUACAUUUAAUAACAGCAUAACAAUCGCCUUAAUUUAAACCUGUGGUAGUGGGAACUACUGUCAGAGCUGCUGUUAUGGAAAAUUAAUUAGCGCCAUCUGACCAAUCAGAAUUGAGAAUUUAACAGCGCUGUGGUAUGAAACAUUAUAACUCAUAACGCACUCUGUUGUUAUCGAUAUAGUGUCGAGUGUUAGGGGACUCACCGUGCCGCUGCUGCCCAGGGAAAGAUGACUGAGCUGCUGGGUCAGUGGCAUCAUGGCAGCAGGCUGGAUGGACAGUGUGUGAUCCAUGGUAGGUGUUAGGAGUGUUCCCUGUGGAUAUUCCACAGAGAAAAUGAGAGCAAAGGUGAUGAGAACCAUAUGGUAGGAGCACUGAUUUGAUGGUUGAUGCGCUGCUUUAUGGAAGACCUACCGUGGGCUGCAUGAGGUACGACUGAUGGUGCAUCCAGGAUGGAUUGUGUACCUGUAGUACAGGGAAGGAUUCUGUUUAUCACUGAGUCAACACACAUUGUCAAUUAUUAUAAUUAAUAUGCAUAAAAUAUGAAGAAGAAAAAAAUACCACCUUGACGGGAACCUGCAAAACUGUUUCCCACAGACUUAUCAACUGAACUAUCCAUCCAGCCAUCCACUUUCUGUACCUGGCUUAUCCUUCAAAGGGUUGCGGGGAGUCUGGAGCCUAUCCCACGGGACUUGGGGCACAAGGUGGGGAACACCAUGGACGGGGUGCCAAACCAUCUCAGGGCACAAUCAUACACACGUUCACACACUUUAGAGAUGCCAAGCGGCGUACAGCCAGUCUUUCGACUGGAGGAGGAAACUGGAGGAAGCCCCCGAGGCACGAGGAGCACAUGGGUGGAGGCGAGAAUUGAAUCUCCAUCCCUGGGGGUGCGAUGUAAACCACUAAGCCACCGUGCACCCCUUCAACUGAACUAAAAUAUAUUUGAAGUGAAAAAUAUAUUAAAUGGAAAUUGUAAAAUUAUAAUUAAUCAAUCAUGUUUCUUAUGUCAUGCAUGCUAAGAAAGGGGGGGGGGGGGGGUUGAAUAUAGAACACGGCCCUACUGAUUUAAAGGUUGAAGAACCCUACAUAGUGCUUCGUUAUUAACGACGAUUCGCAGAAAACCUCUUUAGCCAGCGAAAAUUCCUCAGCUAUGCAAAGAAUCCUUGACAGAACUUGUUUAGUGCAUUUAAGGAAGAACGGACUAUCACGUACAUCAUGAAAUUUCCCAAAGGUACGGUGAAAAUGUUACAAGUUGCCCUGACCUUCUAUAAUAGACAUUACAAAUAAUGUGGGUGACUGAAAACCUGCAGAGUCUCAACUUUCUAUGGACUUUGCAUUGGCACACACAUACACUGG
Long non-coding RNA from Ictalurus punctatus (channel catfish), 1869 nucleotides. RefSeq lists it as uncharacterized. The record is from RefSeq and is a predicted model, not a curated record. The transcript is spliced from 2 exons. Lineage: Eukaryota; Metazoa; Chordata; Actinopteri; Siluriformes; Ictaluridae.